This 68-nucleotide transfer RNA is filed under the name Bos taurus (domestic cattle). It matches the Rfam family "tRNA". Rfam says of the family: Transfer RNA (tRNA) molecules are approximately 80 nucleotides in length. Their secondary structure includes four short double-helical elements and three loops (D, anti-codon, and T loops). Further hydrogen bonds mediate the characteristic L-shaped molecular structure. tRNAs have two regions of fundamental functional importance: the anti-codon, which is responsible for specific mRNA codon recognition, and the 3' end, to which the tRNAs corresponding amino acid is attached (by aminoacyl-tRNA synthetases). tRNAs cope with the degeneracy of the genetic code in two manners: having more than one tRNA (with a specific anti-codon) for a particular amino acid; and 'wobble' base-pairing, i.e. permitting non-standard base-pairing at the 3rd anti-codon position. Lineage: Eukaryota; Metazoa; Chordata; Mammalia; Artiodactyla; Bovidae. The record is from Rfam by way of RNAcentral.
CCUGAUGACUCAGUGAUAAAGAAUCUGCCUGCAAUGCAGAAGAUGUGGGUUCGAACCCUCGGUCAGGA